Molecule: ribosomal RNA, 431 nt
Filed under: uncultured bacterium
Lineage: Bacteria
Description: bacterial SSU rRNA
Rfam family: Bacterial small subunit ribosomal RNA
Source: RNAcentral
ACGAACGCUGGCGGCAUGCCUAAUACAUGCAAGUCGAACGAUCCCUUCGGGGAUAGUGGCGCACGGGUGCGUAACGCGUGGGAAUCUGCCCUUGGGUUCGGAAUAACUUCGGGAAACUGAAGCUAAUACCGGAUGAUGACGAAAGUCCAAAGAUUUAUCGCCCAGGGAUGAGCCCGCGUAGGAUUAGCUAGUUGGUGGGGUAAAGGCUCACCAAGGCAACGAUCCUUAGCUGGUCUGAGAGGAUGAUCAGCCACACUGGGACUGAGACACGGCCCAGACUCCUACGGGAGGCAGCAGUAGGGAAUAUUGGACAAUGGGCGAAAGCCUGAUCCAGCAAUGCCGCGUGAGUGAUGAAGGCCUUAGGGUUGUAAAGCUCUUUUACCCGAGAUGAUAAUGACAGUAGCGGGAGAAUAAGCUCCGGCUAACUCCGU